UACCUACCUGGGUUAGCUUAAGAAUCCCUGCCACAGAUAUCACGAACCCCUGAUUAAAACACAAACUUUAAUUAUUUAAUUAACUAAGAAAUAUAAUUUAAACUAUUUCUAAUCCCUUAAACCCUUAAGUUCAUAGAUCCAAGAAUGGGCCCCUAAGAUCAAACAUAGACUCUAAAAUCAGGAUCCUUUAAACUCAAGUCAAUCGUGGCCCAACACAGAUUAAGCCCAAUUGAGCCAAACCAGAUAACAGGUCCGGAUCAGAUUUCGAGCCCAACCCAAACCAGCCCACAGUUCCAAUUUGGCCCGACUCAGCCCAACACAGACCCCUAGCCCAACCCAAACCAGGUCUGAUCAGACCAUAACAAAACCCAUUCAUGGAAUAGGUGGAACCGGUUCACAAUUUAAACCCGGUUCAAAGUCUGGUUCACCCUUAAGGCACGGAUUUCGAUGCAAAGGAAACACCCAAAGCUCAUCUGUGCCUGGUUUGAGACACCAACAGGGCACAGAAAAUGAUGCAAGGAAAACACCCAGCCGGCGGAAGAAGAAGAAGAAGAGGAAGAAGAAGAAGAGGAAGAAGGAGAAGAAGAAGAAGAAGAAGAAGAAGGUGGCUGGUGGUCGGCCCUCGGCGGCCGACCGUGGUCCUCGGCGGCGUGCUCGGCCAGCCGCCGUCGGCUACCCCACCUUCACAGGCGGCACCGAACGGGAAGAAAGAGAGAA
This 717-nucleotide long non-coding RNA is filed under the name Phoenix dactylifera (date palm). RNAcentral's name for it is "long non-coding RNA (PDAC_LNC019048)". The record is from RNAcentral. Lineage: Eukaryota; Viridiplantae; Streptophyta; Magnoliopsida; Arecales; Arecaceae.